RNAcentral lists this ribosomal RNA (463 nucleotides) under Phoenicolacerta laevis (Lebanon lizard). Its description in RNAcentral is "partial 12S ribosomal RNA". It matches the Rfam family "Bacterial small subunit ribosomal RNA", at positions 794 to 1470 of the family's 1533-position model. Lineage: Eukaryota; Metazoa; Chordata; Lepidosauria; Squamata; Lacertidae. The record is from RNAcentral.
GCUAAGCCCUAAACAUUGAUAGCCAUUGUACAAAGCUAUCCGCCAGAGAACUACAAGUGAAAAACUUAAAACUCAAAGGACUUGACGGUGUCCCAUAUCAACCUAGAGGAGCCUGUCCUAUAAUCGAUACCCCUCGCUCCACCCUACCUUAGCUAGCAAAAUUCAGCCUAUAUACCGCCGUCGACCAGCCUACCCUAUGAAGGUCUAAUAGUAGACAUAAUAGUCACACCACUAGUACGUCAGGUCAAGGUGUAGCAAAUGUUAAGGAAGUGAUUGGCUACAUUUUUUAUUAUAAAAAAUACGGAAUGUACUAUGAAACCGUUCAUGAAGGUGAAUUUAGUAGUAAAACAGAUAAGAGUGUCUGCUUUAACAAUGCUCUGGGACGUGUACACACCGCCCGUCACCCUCCUUAACUAACUAUUUUAAUUUUUUUAUAAACCAAAAAUAAUACACUAAAGGAGGU